AGCCACCUGCUCCUGGGAAAGCAUCUCAGAGACCCCUCACUGUUUGUGGAGAAGGGACCAGCUGCCCUCCUCCAACACCCCCUGCCUCUUCUUGGAGCCUCUGCAGCUUGCAGGUCAGAGACCUCCCUGACAACCCUCGGGCCUGCUAUCCCCUCUCUUCACCACAUUCUCCCCUUGAGUUUCUUUUCCUUCAACACUACAAUCAGUACUUCUUAUAGUUGACACAGAUGACACCCUAUGGCAAGGUG
This 248-nucleotide long non-coding RNA is filed under the name Anser brachyrhynchus (Pink-footed goose). Its description in RNAcentral is "lncRNA (ENSABRG00000009197.1)". Lineage: Eukaryota; Metazoa; Chordata; Aves; Anseriformes; Anatidae. The record is from RNAcentral.